UAUAUAUAUAUAUAUAGAGAGAGAGAGAGAGAGAGAGAGAGAGAGAGAGAGAGUCUGGCUACUAUAUACUUUUAUGAUUAUGAUCGUCCUCGUAUUCAUAAGUCAUUUUCGAUGAUAAAACUUUCGAAUCGACGAUCCAUACCAUUAUACAUUAUUUAAAGCAUUUAAAAUUUUUAGAAAUCAAAUUUUAUAAUUUUUCGACAUCAUUUACCUAACGAUCAAAAUGUCAGAAAAUUGAUAAUUUUAACGGCCGGUAUGAAAUACUUGCUAGUUGAACGAUGUGAAAGAAUUGAAAUUUGUUGAAUUUUUUAUAGAAAAUUCUAUUCACUACCUAGAUAAAGUUAAAUAACUCCGAUUUUAAAUUGAAGGAUCCGAUCAUUUAUUUCUAGGACGUCGUUCGAUUUUGACUGUUCAUUUUAUACUCGCUUGAUGGGCUCUAUAAUAAUUUUGAAAAAUUACGAGAUUUAUUUUUUAGAAGUUUCAAAUACUCUAGAUUAUACUUAACGAAGUGGAUCGUCAAUUUGGAAGCUCCAUCAUCAAAAAUAAUUUAUGAGUACGAAAAGCUAGAUAAUCAUACGACUAUACGAGUAUAGUAACCCUACCGAUAGUAUUCUAACUCAACUCUAUAUAUAUAUAUAUAUAUAUAUAUUUGCUUCCACGAUCAAAUUUUUUUUAAAAAAAAUAGCUUA
This 689-nucleotide long non-coding RNA is filed under the name Ananas comosus (pineapple). Its description in RNAcentral is "long non-coding RNA (ACOM_LNC020429)". Lineage: Eukaryota; Viridiplantae; Streptophyta; Magnoliopsida; Poales; Bromeliaceae. The record is from RNAcentral.